UAUCUACUACUUGAUCAUGGUGGCAAGGUGGAAAUACUUUGAUGUGCUUUCACCAUCUAGUCAAAGUUGUCUAGUGCAAGAAGCACUUGAUUGAAUGACAUUUGGAUACGAUCAAAUCCUCUUCAAUAUUCAGCACUUGAUUGAAUGACAUUUGUUGCAACAAUUAACGAAUAAGGAUAGGGGUAGGACUUUUAUAUUAGAGGGGUUAGUUCUUGAAAAUCUUGAUUUCUUCUCUAGUCCUCAGCUUCUUUUCCCCCUUUCUUUUCAUUUACUUACAUUACAUUUUCUUGUCUCUUCUACCCUCAAGUGUAAUUCCAUGUUGCCUUGGUUAAGAAUUGUAUAUUUUGAGAUUGUUUCUGAACAUAUGAGAGAGAUAUUUGGGCUAACUUGGGAGAUGGAAGUGGUUAAGCAACAAACCCACUGUUUUUAAAAAUUGUGGUGUCUGGGCUAGCUCGCGCCACCUCAACUUAUUUAACGGGGUACCUACUAUCACCCACCAACUCAAGUACUAGGCAAUUCUGCCUACCAAGGCUUUGAUAAAUGGGAAAAAAUCACCUAGUAUUUGCCUCCGUUGGGAUUUGAACAUGAGACCUUAUGGUUCUCAACCCACUUAUUGACCGCUAGCCAACCCUUGACAUUGUCUUGGUGCACUGUAAUAGGAAUAAUUCUGAUUUGUUUUAAAAAGAUUGUAUUUCAUUAUAAUGCAUGUGGCUUUAUUUUUUAUGGUUAUGUUAUAAGUAAGGACUAUAAUGUCCUUGUUAAACAACUUGCACUCUAUAUCAAUAUCUCUGUAAUCUGGG
RNAcentral lists this long non-coding RNA (800 nucleotides) under Solanum tuberosum (potato). RNAcentral describes it as "long non-coding RNA (STUB_LNC002385)". The record is from RNAcentral. Lineage: Eukaryota; Viridiplantae; Streptophyta; Magnoliopsida; Solanales; Solanaceae.